GGACUACUGGGGUAUCUAAUCCCGUUCGCUCCCCCAGCUUUCGCGCCUCAGCGUCAAGUGUGCCCCAGGAGACCGCCUUCGCCACUGGUGUUCCUACCGAUCUCUACGCAUUUCACCGCUACACCGGUAAUUCCAUCUCCCCCUAGCACCUUCAAGAGUAUCAGUAUCCACCGACCCUCCGGAGUUGAGCUCCGGGCUUUCACAGCGGACUUAACACCCCGCCUACGCGCGCUUUACGCCCAGUAACUUCGGACAACGCUCGCCCCCUACGUAUUACCGCGGCUGCUGGCAC
This 292-nucleotide ribosomal RNA is filed under the name uncultured bacterium. Its description in RNAcentral is "partial 16S ribosomal RNA". The record is from RNAcentral.